This 505-nucleotide ribosomal RNA is filed under the name uncultured bacterium. RNAcentral's name for it is "partial 16S ribosomal RNA". It matches the Rfam family "Bacterial small subunit ribosomal RNA", at positions 28 to 507 of the family's 1533-position model. The record is from RNAcentral.
GACGAACGCUGGCGGCGUGCCUAAUACAUGCAAGUAGAACGCACAGUUUAUACCGUAGCUUGCUACACCAUAGACUGUGAGUUGCGAACGGGUGAGUAACGCGUAGGUAACCUGCCUGGUAGCGGGGGAUAACUAUUGGAAACGAUAGCUAAUACCGCAUAAUAUUAAUUAUUGCAUGAUAAUUAAUUGAAAGGUGCAAUUGCACCACUACCAGAUGGACCUGCGUUGUAUUAGCUAGUAGGUGAGGUAACGGCUCACCUAGGCGACGAUACAUAGCCGACCUGAGAGGGUGAUCGGCCACACUGGGACUGAGACACGGCCCAGACUCCUACGGGAGGCAGCAGUAGGGAAGCUUGGGCAAUGGCCGAAAGUCUGACCGAGCAACGCCGCGUGAGUGAAGAAGGUUUUCGGAUCGUAAAGCUCUGUUGUAAGAGAAGAACGGGUGUGAGAGUGGAAAGUUCACACUGUGACGGUAGCUUACCAGAAAGGGACGGCUAACUACGUG